AUCUUCAAGGGAAUAACAAGAACCAUUGCACAGAUUCACCAUCCCCACCAGAGAAGCUCAUUGCUGGGAUCCUGGGAGUCAUCUGCUUUAUCUUGAUGUACACUGCAGUAAGAAUGAUUCUGUGUAACCAGACAGGGAACUAGACAACAGGGAACCAGAAAG
Long non-coding RNA from Phyllostomus discolor (pale spear-nosed bat), 162 nucleotides. RefSeq lists it as uncharacterized. The record is from RefSeq and is a predicted model, not a curated record. NCBI's taxonomy places the organism in Eukaryota, Metazoa, Chordata, Mammalia, Chiroptera, Phyllostomidae. The transcript is spliced from 3 exons.